GAUGAACGCUGGCGGCGUGCCUAAUACAUGCAAGUCGAGCGAACGGACGAGAAGCUUGCUUCUCUGAUGUUAGCGGCGGACGGGUGAGUAACACGUGGAUAACCUACCUAUAAGACUGGGAUAACUUCGGGAAACCGGAGCUAAUACCGGAUAAUAUUUUGAACCGCAGGGUUCAAAAGUGAAAGACGGUCUUGCUGUCACUUAGAGAUGGAUCCGCGCUGCAUUAGCUAGUUGGUAAGGUAACGGCUUACCAAGGCAACGAUGCAUAGCCGACCUGAGAGGGUGAUCGGCCACACUGGAACUGAGACACGGUCCAGACUCCUACGGGAGGCAGCAGUAGGGAAUCUUCCGCAAUGGGCGAAAGCCUGACGGAGCAACGCCGCGUGAGUGAUGAAGGUCUUCGGAUCGUAAAACUCUGUUAUUAGGGAAGAACAUAUGUGUAAGUAACUGUGCACAUCUUGACGGUACCUAAUCAGAAAGCCCCGGCUAACUACGUG
This 497-nucleotide ribosomal RNA is filed under the name uncultured bacterium. Its description in RNAcentral is "partial 16S ribosomal RNA". It matches the Rfam family "Bacterial small subunit ribosomal RNA", at positions 28 to 507 of the family's 1533-position model. The record is from RNAcentral.